GAUAUCAUCAUAUAUAGUUGAUUAGAAAUAGGGAAUAAAUUAUGUGGAAUCACACUUUCUUUUUCACACUUGUCAGUAGAUUGUUCCAAUUCUGCAAUCUGCAACAGGUAAAAAAGUAUUACUGAAUUUUCACUUAAAAGCUCAUUUUCUGUUCUUAGAGUAGUAUGUUAAAUUAUUAAUUGUACCUGUUUCUCCAACAGCUCAUUUUCCGUUCUUAGAGUAAGUUCCUGUUCGAAGUGGCAAAGAUAAAAAAAAACAAAGAGUUAACAAACCAUGUAUGUGGAUUUUAUUUUACCAUGUUUGUACUUUAUCAGAGAUAUUUUAGAGUGAAAUGCUAG
RNAcentral lists this long non-coding RNA (338 nucleotides) under Medicago truncatula (barrel medic). Its description in RNAcentral is "long non-coding RNA (MTRU_LNC006515)". The record is from RNAcentral. Lineage: Eukaryota; Viridiplantae; Streptophyta; Magnoliopsida; Fabales; Fabaceae.